This is a long non-coding RNA of Coccinella septempunctata (seven-spotted ladybird), 152 nucleotides long. RefSeq lists it as uncharacterized. The record is from RefSeq and is a predicted model, not a curated record. The transcript has 2 exons. NCBI's taxonomy places the organism in Eukaryota, Metazoa, Arthropoda, Insecta, Coleoptera, Coccinellidae.
GUUGUAUAUGCAUUGUUCAUCUCGGAGAACUUCUUGAGUGCCUUUUGAUGUACGUCUUUCCAACUGCUUCAGAGAAACUCAACUAUUCGAGUCCUGAUGAAGGAUCUGUAAAGAUCCGAAACGUCGACUAAGAAUAAAUGUAGUAUUCAGAA